GAUGAACGCUAGCGGCAGGCUUAACACAUGCAAGUCGCGGGGCAGCGGGGGAUGUAGCAAUACAUUCUGCCGGCGACCGGCGCAAGGGUGCGUAACGCGUGAGCAACAUGCCCGUCUCAGGGGGAUAACCGGUGGAAACGCCGCCUAAUACCCCAUGGUGACAUCCGGAGGCAUCUCCGGCUGUCUAAAGCUCCGGCGGAGACGGAUUGGCUCGCGUGACAUUAGCUGGACGGCGGGGUAACGGCCCACCGUGGCAACGAUGUCUAGGGGUUCUGAGAGGAAGGUCCCCCACACUGGAACUGAGACACGGUCCAG
This 315-nucleotide ribosomal RNA is filed under the name uncultured bacterium. Its description in RNAcentral is "bacterial SSU rRNA". It matches the Rfam family "Bacterial small subunit ribosomal RNA", at positions 28 to 334 of the family's 1533-position model. The record is from RNAcentral.